Non-coding RNA from Pogona vitticeps (central bearded dragon), 367 nucleotides. The record is from RefSeq and is a predicted model, not a curated record. Lineage: Eukaryota; Metazoa; Chordata; Lepidosauria; Squamata; Agamidae.
CACUCUUUUGUAGGACAGGAAACAAAAUCUCAGAGCAGUUUCCCAUUUUUCCAACGAUGUCUCAGGAGAGCGCGGAACAUCAAUAAUAUAACACCAGAGCCAAGUGAAAGUAUUUGAGAAUGUCAAUGAAAGAGAGAUUUCAUUUGUCCCAGAAUACAGUAAUGACACGAUGACAAGACCGGCAGUAAUGAAAAAGGAGAGCUUUAAAAAGACAUAAAGAGAUGUAAGUGGAUCGCCUCUCAUCUCGCAGCACAAAGUCUUGAUUUGGCGCAUCAGCAAACCCAUAGGGAGGACAGCCCCGCGAGAGGAAACACCAUAAUUUUAUUAAUUAUCUUUGUUUUAUGGAACCACGUGAAGUCAGGCAGUU